GAUGAACGCUAGCUACAGGCUUAACACAUGCAAGUCGAGGGACCGGCGCACGGGUGAGUAACACGUAUCCAACCUGCCCUUUUCUCGGGGUUAGCCUUUCGCACGAGAGAUUAAUACCCGAUGGAAAGGCUGGGGAUGCGUUCCAUUAGGUUGUUGGUGAGGUAACGGCUAACCAAGCCUUCGAUGGAUAGGGGUUCUGAGCGGAAGGUCCCCCACAAUGGAACUGAGACACGGUCCAAACUCCUACGGGAGGCAGCAGUGAGGAAUAUUGGUCAAUGGGCGUUAGCCUGAACCAGCCAAGUAGCGUGAAGGAUGAAGGCUUAUGGGUCGUAAACUUCUUUUAUAUAAGAAUAUGUAUUAGAUGAAUAAGGAUCGGCUAACUCCGUGCCAGCCGCCGCGGUAAUAC
RNAcentral lists this ribosomal RNA (406 nucleotides) under uncultured bacterium. RNAcentral describes it as "partial 16S ribosomal RNA". It matches the Rfam family "Bacterial small subunit ribosomal RNA", at positions 28 to 526 of the family's 1533-position model. The record is from RNAcentral.